CCGGGACUUCUUCUCCAGGUACCGUCAUUAUCUUCCCUGGUGAAAGAGCUUUACGACCCUAGGGCCUUCUUCACUCACGCGGCAUGGCUAGAUCAGGGUUUCCCCCAUUGUCUAAGAUUCCCCA
RNAcentral lists this ribosomal RNA (124 nucleotides) under uncultured bacterium. Its description in RNAcentral is "partial 16S ribosomal RNA". The record is from RNAcentral.